RNAcentral lists this ribosomal RNA (274 nucleotides) under uncultured bacterium. Its description in RNAcentral is "partial 16S ribosomal RNA". It matches the Rfam family "Bacterial small subunit ribosomal RNA", at positions 523 to 796 of the family's 1533-position model. The record is from RNAcentral.
CUACGGAGGGGGCGAGCGUUAUUCGGAAUCAUUGGGCGUAAAGGGCGCGUAGGCGGCCUGACAAGUCAGGGGUGAAAUCCCUCGGCUCAACCGAGGAACUGCCUCUGAAACUGUCAGGCUUGAGGCCGGGAGAGGGUAGUGGAAUUCCCAGUGUAGCGGUGAAAUGCGUAGAUAUUGGGAGGAACACCAGUGGCGAAGGCGGCUACCUGGACCGGUUCUGACGCUGAGGCGCGAAAGUGUGGGGAGCAAGCAGGAUUAGAAACCCUAGUAGUCC